GUGGGGAAUAUUGGACAAUGGGCGAAAGCCUGAUCCAGCCAUGCCGCGUGUGUGAAGAAGGUCUUCGGAUUGUAAAGCACUUUAAGUUGGGAGGAAGGGCAGUAAGUUAAUACCUUGCUGUUUUGACGUUACCGACAGAAUAAGCACCGGCUAACUUCGUGCCAGCAGCCGCGGUAAUACGAAGGGUGCAAGCGUUAAUCGGAAUUACUGGGCGUAACGCGCGCGUAGGUGGUUUUGUAAGUUGGAGGUGAAAUCCCCGGGCUCAACCUGGGCACUGGCUCCAAAACUGCAUGACUAGAGUACGGUAGAGGGUAGUGGAAUUUCCUGUGUAGCGGUGAAAUGCGUAGAUAUAGGAAGGAACACCAGUGGCGAAGGCGACUACCUGGACUGAUACUGACACUGAGGUGCGAAAGCGUGGGGAGCAAACAGGAUUAGAAACCCGGGUAGUCC
Molecule: ribosomal RNA, 450 nt
Filed under: uncultured bacterium
Lineage: Bacteria
Description: partial 16S ribosomal RNA
Rfam family: Bacterial small subunit ribosomal RNA
Source: RNAcentral